This is a non-coding RNA of Paramormyrops kingsleyae, 620 nucleotides long. Lineage: Eukaryota; Metazoa; Chordata; Actinopteri; Osteoglossiformes; Mormyridae. The record is from RefSeq and is a predicted model, not a curated record.
CGAGGGAAGACGAACCGGCGGCAGUCAGCCUCUCCCGUAGCUUGACUCGCUGCACGUCCAAGGACGGCUCCAUGCUGCCCUGGCGGAUGGCGGGCAGCAGCAGACUUGAUGCGCAUCUCGACGGACUGCCGGACGUGUGACGGAACAGAGACGUAGCGGAGACGCAACGCAGCGGAUCUGGUGUAAACUGAUGCAUUGACUUUAUUGGCGGCGAUUGCCUGCGGCUGCCGUGUUGGAAACGCACCGCAGCGGAUACGCAUCCAGUGUAAAUCAGGGAAUCUAUCCCCCUGGAUUCCCAGAGCUGGAAGAUAGGAAAACAGCAGGGAUGACUGAAUGGAAACCUAUCAUUGAUAUUUUAAGAGAUCCAGAAUUAAAGAGUAACUGCAAACUGAUGUCACCAGCUUGCCACAGGAAAACCUCCAUUGGCUGGCAAGUGGAGCCUCCUUGGAGACAAUGCCUGGGUAAUCAGUAACUGUUCCAUCUCCUUCUGUUGGACACCCGUGACCUACGACCUCUUCUCUGUGCACCGCGGCCCUCCCCAUCCCGGGAAGCACUGGCAGUCAAAGCCCGCCAGCAUGUCGCGGACGUAGCCGUUACCCUGCCGCGUUCUCAGGCUGUGC